CCUACGGGUGGCAGCAGUGAGGAAUAUUGGUCAAUGGACGAGAGUCUGAACCAGCACAGUAGCGUGAAGGAUGACUGCCCUCUGGGUUGUAACCUUCUUUUAUAUGGGAAUAAAAUGUUCCACAUGUGGUAUUUUGUAUGUACCAUAUGAAUAAGUAUCGGCUAACUCCGUGCCAGCAGCCGCGGUAAUACGGAGGAUCCGAGCGUUAUCCGGAGUUAUUGGGUUUAACGGGAGCGUAGGUGGAUUGUUAAGUCAGUUGUGAAAGUUUGCGGCUCAACCGUAAAAUUGCAGUUGAAACUGGCAGUCUUGAGUACAGUAGAGGUGGGCGGAAUUCGUGGUGUAGCGGUGAAAUGCGUCGAGAUCACGAAGAACUCCGAUGGCGAAGGCAGCUCACUGGACUGCAACUGACACUGAGGCUCGAAAGUGUGGGUAUCAAACAGGAGUAGAUACCCUAGUAGUC
Molecule: ribosomal RNA, 460 nt
Filed under: uncultured bacterium
Lineage: Bacteria
Description: partial 16S ribosomal RNA
Rfam family: Bacterial small subunit ribosomal RNA
Source: RNAcentral